This 368-nucleotide ribosomal RNA is filed under the name uncultured Desulfocapsa sp. Its description in RNAcentral is "bacterial SSU rRNA". It matches the Rfam family "Bacterial small subunit ribosomal RNA", at positions 1018 to 1382 of the family's 1533-position model. Lineage: Bacteria; Pseudomonadati; Thermodesulfobacteriota; Desulfobulbia; Desulfobulbales; Desulfocapsaceae. The record is from RNAcentral.
CGCAAGAGGAGCCUGGAGACAGGUGCUGCAUGGCUGUCGUCAGCUCGUGUCGUGAGAUGUUGGUUAAGUCCCGCAACGAGCGCAACCCUUGUCUUUAGUUGCCAUCAUUCAGUUGGGCACUCUAAAGAGACUGCCGGUGUCAAACCGGAGGAAGGUGGGGAUGACGUCAAGUCCUCAUGGCCUUUAUGACCAGGGCUACACACGUACUACAAUGGCCGGUACAAAGGGCAAGGCCACUUAGCGAUAAGGAGCCAAUCCCGUAAAGCCGGUCUCAGUCCGGAUUGGAGUCUGCAACUCGACUCCAUGAAGUUGGAAUCGCUAGUAAUCGCAGAUCAGCACGCUGCGGUGAAUACCGGUUCCCGGGCCUU